Molecule: unclassified non-coding RNA, 1814 nt
Filed under: Hevea brasiliensis (rubber tree)
Lineage: Eukaryota; Viridiplantae; Streptophyta; Magnoliopsida; Malpighiales; Euphorbiaceae
Source: RNAcentral
AGGGUCAAACAAAGCACAGCCGAAGGAGAAGAAAUUUCUCUUUCAACAAUCAGCGUUUAGCUACAGCAACGCCCCAAUCCACCAGCACAACCACCGCACACGGUGGCGCGUGAAGCUGCUGCUGGGCAUCUCUCCAUGUGCUGACGGCGGAAUCCGGCCGGAGAGGUGAUGGGUCAGGGCUUGAGCUGCGGCGAACGCCUUGAGAAUGGGCUGUUCCGAGCUGUGCAGAAUGGGGAUUUGGAGCUUGUUGAGACUAUGGUAAAGGCUGAUCCAACUAUCUUGCAACAGACAACUCCUCGUUCGAGGAUGUCUGCUCUGCACAUCGCAGCUGCUUAUGGUCAGAUCGAGAUUCUUUCUCUGCUCUUGGAUCGGUCUAUGAAUCCUGAUGUGUUGAAUCGCAACAAACAGACCCCGUUAAUGCUGGCUACAAUGAAUGGGAAGAUAUCCUGUGUGCAGAGACUUAUUGAAGCAGGAGCAAACGUUUGUGUCCCAAUUUAUUCUGAUGUUUGAUUCUCUAAAUCGGCGAACCUGUCUGCAUUAUGCCGCUUAUUAUGGUCACUCAGAUUGCUUAGAAGCCAUAGUUUCCGCUGCCCAUUCAGCUCCAGUUGCAGCCACUUGGGGAUUUAUCAGAUACGUGAACAUUCGAGAUGGACGAGGUGCCACUCCGUUGCAUAUAGCUGCACGUCGACGGCAGCCACAGUGCAUUCAGAUCCUUUUGGCGAAUGGAGCUCUUGUUUGUGCUUUAACUUGUGCUUAUGGCUAUCCAGGGAGUUCGCCUCUUCAUCUAGCUGCUAGAAGUGGUUCUUUAGAAUGUGUUCGAGAAUUGCUUGCGUGGGGAGCAGAAAGAUUACAAGUGGAUUCAGCAGGGAGAAUACCCUACACGGUUGCAAUGAAACGCAAGAAUCGGGCGUGUGCAGCUUUGCUGAAUCCUUCAGCAGCAGAACCUCUUGUCUGGCCAUCAAAACUGAAAUUCAUCAAUGAGCUAAAUCAAGAGGCAAAAGCUCUGCUAGAGAGGGCCUUGGUGGAAGCAAACAUGGAGAGAGAGAAGGCCAUUUUGAAGGAGAAUUCCUACUCACCUCCAUCUCCUUUACAGUCUGAUGCUGAUUUGGAUGAUGCAGAAUCUGAGGAGUGCGAUCUCGAGUUAUGCUGCAUAUGCUUUGAACAGGCCUGCACUUUAGAGGUCCAUCCUUGUGGUCAUCAAAUGUGUGCCCAUUGCACCCUAGCUUUAUGCUGUUACAAGAAGCCAAAUAGCUCGAGCAAUUGUCCUACUGCCCCGCUGUGCCCUUUUUGUCGGAGCAGCAUUACUCAACUACUCGUGGCAAGGAUGAAGGUGACUGAUAAUGCAGAAUCUGAAAUUAAUUCAUCAAAACUAAGGCGGUCUAGAAAGUCAAAUUUCAGUGAGGGCAGCAGUAGCUUCAAGAGCUUAUCGGCUUUGGGAUCAUUUGGGAAGAUUGGUGGCCAUAGUACAGGAAGAUUUCCAGUUGAAUGUGAUGAGGAGGUUGAUAAGAGUUUCUAAGUAGCAUCUUCUUCGCGGGGUCUUGUUCGAGCAAAGCUGAUUAUCCAGUCAAUGUAAGAGUCUUGGAUAUGGAAAAACACCAAUGGUUAUGUUUUUCACUAUCUUUAAAAAUCUACUUGAAUGCCUAAGAAGCAUGGCUACAAGCGUCGUUGCGAUUUCGAUUGUCUUGAGUAAAUAUAAGGUGGUCGAACCUGUCAUUCCUCGUUUUGUUACUGAAGUUGCAGCAAGUUACUAUUUCUGAGUCAUGAAUGCUUGCUGAUUACUUGUUAUGGUUUUGAGUUCUAAUAAAGCUUCAUAA